GUAACAAGGUCUCCGUUGGUGAACCAGCGGAGGGAUCAUUACCGAGUUUACAACUCCCAAACCCCUGUGAACAUACCUAUACGUUGCCUCGGCGGAUCAGCCCGCGCCCCGUAAAACGGGACGGCCCGCCCGAGGACCCCUAAACUCUGUUUUUAGUGGAACUUCUGAGUAAAACAAACAAAUAAAUCAAAACUUUCAACAACGGAUCUCUUGGUUCUGGCAUCGAUGAAGAACGCAGCAAAAUGCGAUAAGUAAUGUGAAUUGCAGAAUUCAGUGAAUCAUCGAAUCUUUGAACGCACAUUGCGCCCGCCAGUAUUCUGGCGGGCAUGCCUGUUCGAGCGUCAUUUCAACCCUCAAGCUCAGCUUGGUGUUGGGACUCGCGGUAACCCGCGUUCCCCAAAUCGAUUGGCGGUCACGUCGAGCUUCCAUAGCGUAGUAAUCAUACACCUCGUUACUGGUAAUCGUCGCGGCCACGCCGUAAAACCCCAACUUCUGAAUGUUGACCUCGGAUCAGGUAGGAAUACCCGCUGAACUUAAGCAUAUCAACCGGGGAA
RNAcentral lists this ribosomal RNA (554 nucleotides) under Fusarium sp. Its description in RNAcentral is "eukaryotic LSU rRNA". The stretch from base 191 to 344 matches the Rfam family "5.8S ribosomal RNA". Lineage: Eukaryota; Fungi; Ascomycota; Sordariomycetes; Hypocreales; Nectriaceae. The record is from RNAcentral.